Ruditapes philippinarum (Manila clam) is the source of this 423-nucleotide long non-coding RNA. RefSeq lists it as uncharacterized. The record is from RefSeq and is a predicted model, not a curated record. NCBI's taxonomy places the organism in Eukaryota, Metazoa, Mollusca, Bivalvia, Venerida, Veneridae. The transcript is spliced from 3 exons.
GUUGAUAACUACAGGUGGGAAAAACCAGUGUCUAAUCUUGAAAUACCCAUAAUUCAAUGGGAAGUUACUUACGAUGGAUGGCCAGUUAUUGAAGGGUGAAAUUCAGGAAUUACUCAGUCAAGUUUUGCCAGAGGUGCAGGUAUGGUUCAGCCAGUACAGGUAGAGCGAGUUACUGAUAUUGCCCAGUUUGUUCGAGCAAUAUGUAGGUCACAGCCUUCAGCAGCAGACGGCCUCACAGACAUCAUAGUUCUGUUGUACACACUCAUUCAGAGGUUUUCAUCAUUCAAUCCCCCCACCUCUUGAGUUAUUGCUGCCUGUAUUGAUUGUAUAACAUGUGUAGCUAAGCUCCACCCAAAAGAGGCGUGGCAUGAUAUGAAACAGACAGGACUCCUCCCCUUUUUGACAGAAAAUAUUGACAACAUG